This is a long non-coding RNA of Gadus macrocephalus (Pacific cod), 5401 nucleotides long. RefSeq lists it as uncharacterized. The record is from RefSeq and is a predicted model, not a curated record. The transcript has 2 exons. NCBI's taxonomy places the organism in Eukaryota, Metazoa, Chordata, Actinopteri, Gadiformes, Gadidae.
UGACCUAUUUUAGUGGGGAAUGGGUCAUAUUAGGGAAGUACAAUGUGCUCUAAAAGCCCCUUAUUUAAUUGAGACAGACAAGUACUGAUUUACAACACUUAACCCUGGAUUGCAGCAAUUAAAGUAAUCCCUAGAACUCUUAGACAAGAGCAUGUUUACAUGUCGGCCACAUUUCAGCUCAACGACAAAAAUGACAACUAGAUGAAUCAAAGAAAGUGCAGUUUAUAUAACUUUAGCGACACCUUUGGCAACAAGCGUUUGUAACACUCAUACUACUGCAAUUUCAAGUGCUUCAUUCCAUUUUCAUUAAGCUCAAAAGCCACUAUAUUACCUCAUUGGGCGAUAGAAAGUGCCUUAACAGACAUUCAUAAAGUGGAAAUUCUUCAAGGCUGCCACUUUAUUAUCUGUAGCUAUUUUUUAUGAGGAAAAUAGGAGGCCAUGGUUCAAGUCUUUAAUUGUAGGCAAAACAGGAUUAGUUAGGGUUCAAGAGGAUUAUUUUUACAAAAUUAUUUGUCAGGAGAUCAUUCAAAAGAUGCAUCAAUCUGUGUUUUUAAUGCAGCAAAUCGACCGGUUACGAAAACAGUGUGAUUAUUGAUUUUGUGACUAUAAUUUAUAAAUACAUACCUGAUGGUUUAAAUUACACGUUUGUUGAGUGCCAAUUUGGUACCUGUAAUUUCAUGACUUUGAUGUUAUUGAGGGCAUGAACUGGUCCUACAUUUUUAAAGGCAACCUUGAUCUGUCUUGUAUCCCUAUUAUUAUUUUGUAUUCAAAGGAUUACGCUUUUUGUUGAACGUUGAAGCAUACAUAAUGCAUACAUUUGAUAGCUUUUAAGUCAUUAUCAUAGAUAAUACAAUAUAUAAUCCAUUGGAACAGUCAAGUCAUGGGUGUCAAUUAGUCUCUUACGGAACAUCUGCAUUAGUUUUGGAACCAGUCGCCAAAAAAAAUCCAUAUUUUGAACAUUGAGGGCAGGAGUUCAAUAGCCAAAACUCAUUAGAACUAGAGUAUGCAGAAACCAGAGAAACCAGCUAGAGUAAGACAGAAUUUUGAGGUAUCCGACCGAAAAGUUCCCACCCCUCCCGUCGGGCAUACUCCAAAGCUGCUCCCCCAAAACGCGUGACUAGCUUGCUAACUUUAGCAAUAGGUCUGCUUAGCCUUGUGGAAAACUCGGUUCAUGCGUAAUGGGUGAAUUCAUGCGCAAUGUCUGCACAGGCAGAAUGUGCGCAGGUAGUGUGUUUGUCAAAUAGGAAAUAAGAAAUAUGAAGGAAAAGGAAAAAGUCCCUCUAAAUUAAUUUGCCUACCCUUGCUUUAAUAUUUGGUCCUUAAUAACUUUUCUAUGAAAUUUCGCUGUCAACCAGUACCUCGCAAAAUACAGAACAUGAAGAUGAACAAGCCCCUAAGAGAGAAUGUGUGUGUCUGUGUCUGUGUGUGUGUGGCUAUAUAACUGCAGUGUCAGGAACGUAUAGUGUGCACACAGGGGUUUGUGUACUUUGUCAACCCUGCUGCUGCCAAAAGGAAGUAGCUCGGCAGAGCUGCAAAGCAGUUAUUUUAAUGUCUCCUCAUCAUGUGGUGGAUGUUAAUUAACAGUCUCCACAGCAUCAUGUUAUGCUUACCUUGUCUUUUUAAAAUGUGAAUCCCCUCCUGUGUUUACUCAGACCUGCGUGUUGUAUCGGCGGGUGUCAGGUACAGGAGGCUGGUCAAAAUAAUAACCAAACAGAGCAACCGUCUCUGGUAAGGGCUGCCCCUGAGGUGUGAUGCUAGUAAUUGGUAAGUAAAUCAGUUUAUAUAUUUAUAUAUUAUUCAACAACAAGUCUUUCCUCUUUGAGGAUUUGGCCCGGUGCUCCAACACCAUGGCAAAACGCUGUGGAUCCCACUCUGCUUUUCUGGCAUACUGAGUAGCUUACAGAGCUGCCGACAGGAACCUGUAAGAGAAGAAAAGUGGGUCAAAAUAAAUCCACCCUCAUUCCCCCCUUCCUCCCUCUGCCCAAAGUUGUGUUGAGUCCUCCUCCGCUGUCUCCUUCUGAAAGUCUCAUGGCAGUGAUGGUCGACACAUCAACAGUGUCUACUGUCAAGUGGCCGUUGCGUGUUCACUCCGCGAUAUGAUCCGCCAUUCAUUUCCUACGGGGGCCGGCGUCAACACUGAGUGAGGCGUUUGCUGCCCUGAGCGCUCGGAGCAGCUGCUUUGACCUCCGCUGACACUGACCCUUCAAACGUUUCCAGCCACAUUGCACCUUUUGUGUGGAAGCAACAGAGUGUGAAUCUGUCAGAAAGAGGAAAACCUGAAAGCAGGCCUCAGGGAACACGGUGCAUCGGUCUGUGUGUUUCUUUCAAACUCAAUCAACCGGCGGCCUCGAUUCAUCUUGGAGAGAUUCUCUGUUCCUCAAGGAGUCUAUUGUAUCCUCGGAGUUAGUGACGGCCCUGUAAGUCAAGAACAUGUUUAUUCAUGUUUUUCCCUCCUCCUACUUAUUUUCUUUUUCUUACUUGAAUGUAGAGCUGCGUUCUUUCAUCACCCACGUCCGUCUAUGUCCUCCAAACGUUAAAUUUUUCACUACGUUUUUAUGCAUUGCUUAUGUAAGAACCUUCAAGUGUUUGGGUGGAGAAUGGCCCACAUUUGAAGGAUCUGUUGAGAAAUGUGGGAAUUCAUUUGAUAUAAUUUUUAUAUAUUUGACUUACUCGCUUCUCCUGCCUGGGCUUUGUGCGGCAAUUAAAUGUCUCACAAAGACAUUUACAUUAAGUAAUUUAGAAGACGUUUUCAUUCAAGGGGACAAACUGUUUAGGAUGGCGAGAAACAAUAGCAGGUAUCCACAAAUAAAGCAAUAGAUAUUGAAUUGAAGGUACAGAGCAGUCUAGCGCUUUGUAACAUGUUUGUCCUAAUCCUGUAUUAUGUUUGGUUAAACUUUUCAUCUGUGUCCUUUUACUGUGCUUUUAAAUACAUAAGCAAGAUGUAAUGAACACUAUAACUACAUGUAACAGCAUGUACAUAAUAUGUUAUAACGGGAUGCGACAGAAAGGGUUAGGGGUUGUGGUUAAGAAUAGCGAAAAAGCGAUUUAAAUUCCUUAGCGUUAUUACAUAUUAGAGUGAGAGAGAUAUCUGUGGUAGUAUCUCGCUAUAAUACCCAUACGCGGUACGAUAUUGGUACUUUUUGCAUCCAGCUCGACUAAUCUAGGCCUCCACAUCGUCACAGUGUGGCCGUUCAGGUGACGGAGAGGGUGAAUCCCUGAACUAGAUAUUGAAGUUAUCAAUAUAGGUUAUCUGAAGCGGCGAGGGCACCUCAAACUGCUCUCAUUCUUGUACUCCGCGACACGAAGAGCUGGAAGUGACACAAGGCACACUCGAAGCAAUAUGAAGUCUACUUUACUUUUAAUCCACACGGUGUGAACAGGGGCCUGGUGUCAUGCUCUCUUUUCUCCUUUUAGAGCACGUUGGGAACUGCUGGGAACUGAUUUUAAAUGGUUCACUCUCAGUGCUGGUAGCACAUAACAGUGGAAGCAGAUAAGCACUUGAACAGAUGAGAAUUCAGACCGCCUGGUUGGGAUCAGACAUGUCACGGGAUUUGAAUAAAUAAAAUCCUGUUUUCCAAAGUUGUCUCAGUAAAAUGUGUGUGUGUGUGUAUGUAGGCACGUGAAUAUUACGUUUUAUAUUGUGUGUGUGUGUGUGUGUGUGUGUGUGUGUGUGUGUGUGUGUGUGUGUGUGUGUGUAGUAUGCAUAUAAAGGGUAUUUAUUGUGGUAAACAACUAAAUCUUCUUGUCUCCUCCGUGCGGUGUUGUGGUGGCCUGCUCGUUCUGCUUCAUCCUUUCUGUCCGAACUACCUCCAUGUAGAGUUAGUUGGUAAUGGUUCAAAGCCACUCCUGGCGCACUGAGGGUCGGUUCACACCGAAUCGGGCAUUGCGUCGAAAACGCCACUUCAACCGCUCGUUUGCGUUUCAUCUGCGGCAGCUGGGGCCGCACGGGGUGGCGAAAAACGACGCAGCCGGCCUGCGGCAUAAACUCAAGACAAUUUAACAUUUGGAGAUAAGCAACCCAAUGUGGUGGCCGAUCCCCUGAGCCGGCGAUCACACCGGAAGAAGAGCCUUGUUCACCGUGUAACGACAGCCUCGUAGCGUUCUGCUGUUUACCAAGUGACCGCUGAUGAUGGAAGAGCGACUGAUCACCGCCGGGUGGUCCUUUCCACAACCCGGCCACGAAGGAGUUGUUGAGGUGCACGACGUCACCCAAACGGACCAUGGAGCGACACUCCCACGUGGCCUCGGCAGUUUGCAGUAAUCGCCGCAACGCUUGAUUUGGUGUGUAUGAGCCCUUUGUCAAACGGCUGACAGGUGAUCACUUCCAGUUUUACUGUCGUGUUGUAACUGAAUAAGACGGACAGAUGAACCCGGGGUAAAAACACAGCCUUCGUGGCCACGAGGCUGAUGAUAAUACUUAUUACAUCCCGACGAAUGUUCUUUGAGGAGUUGAAUGGAAGAGGUGGAAAAGGAACGGGCUGUGAUUGAUGUGGUGAGCUAGGGUAAACAAGGCUGACGUAUAUCAGUUUGUUGUGUUUUUGCCCUUGCCAAUAGGAUUUAUUUUGAUUAAAUAAGUAUUCAGGAUAUUUUUGCAACGCAUUCAGCGCCGUUCAAGGCUUUAGCUUGAUAUGAUAAUUAAUGCACAUUAAGAUAUCAAAAAUUAUCUUUUUUUAUUAAAAAACACUACAUGUCCAGCAGUCUCUUGUGUCUUGUUUCCCAUCCUAUCUAAAAGACUCCUGGUUCAUUCAACUCUUUCCUAGAUGAUUUUUCAUUUCUGUAUGUGUGUGACCAUGUUCCUAUUAUAAACAGCACCACUCACAAUCUUGGCCCCUUGAUUCUGAUGGUUUAAUACAAUCGAUGAUCUUUUCUCAAGUGACAAAUUGGGAAUUCAAUAAAUCAUUCCUGAUUUAAGUGUCUAUUUCAACUGAUCGUAUUCUUAGGAAAGAAAGUCAAAAGUCAAACCUUUGAUGUUGCAGACCGCAAUAUUUUCACGAGACACAUAUGAUGUUGUAUUUUCCAAUACUAGAAAGUAGAGCUUGACGGAUCUGUCGUUAAUAAUUUCAUGAUUUCCGUGCAACUUUUAUUGAUUUUCGAUAAGAGCUUAUUUAAUGCUUUUAGCUAAAGCAUGCAGCUGUCUUAGAAUAUUCGGAAUACAUUUUGCGAGCCAGCAUAGCUGUACAUAUAAUGCAUUGUAGUACAACAUGACAAUAUCCUCUAUGGCUAUAAUUAGGUAUAAAGUCUUUGAGAAGUAUGGCAAAAUGGAUUCCGUGUGUGUGUGUGUGUGUGUGUGUGUGUGUGUGUGUGUGUGUGUGUGUGUGUGUGUGUGUGUGUGUGUGUGUGUGUGUGUGUGUGUGUGUGUGUGUGUGUGUGUGUGUGUGUGUGUGUGUGUGUGUGUGUUUUU